Molecule: ribosomal RNA, 253 nt
Filed under: uncultured bacterium
Lineage: Bacteria
Description: partial 16S ribosomal RNA
Rfam family: Bacterial small subunit ribosomal RNA
Source: RNAcentral
UACGGAGGGGGCUAGCGUUGUUCGGAAUUACUGGGCGUAAAGCGCGCGUAGGCGGACCUGCAAGUCGGGGGUGAAAGCCCGAGGCUCAACCUCGGAACUGCCUUCGAUACUGCGGGUCUCGAGUCCGGGAGAGGUGAGUGGAAUUCCUAGUGUAGAGGUGAAAUUCGUAGAUAUUAGGAAGAACACCAGUGGCGAAGGCGGCUCACUGGCCCGGUACUGACGCUGAGGCGCGAAAGCGUGGGGAGCGAACCGG